GUGGUUGUGGCUCAGUGGUAGAGUGCUUGCCUAGCAUGCAUGAAGAUCUGGGUUCAAUCUUCAGCACCACA
Ictidomys tridecemlineatus (thirteen-lined ground squirrel) is the source of this 71-nucleotide non-coding RNA. Lineage: Eukaryota; Metazoa; Chordata; Mammalia; Rodentia; Sciuridae. The record is from Rfam.